RNAcentral lists this ribosomal RNA (864 nucleotides) under Distoseptispora tectonigena. RNAcentral describes it as "eukaryotic LSU rRNA". It matches the Rfam family "Eukaryotic large subunit ribosomal RNA", at positions 64 to 955 of the family's 3401-position model. The record is from RNAcentral. Lineage: Eukaryota; Fungi; Ascomycota; Sordariomycetes; Distoseptisporaceae.
ACCAACAGGGAUUGCCCCAGUAACGGCGAGUGAAGCGGCAACAGCUCAGAUUUGAAAUCUGGCCCUUUCGGGGUCCGAGUUGUAAUCUGUAGAGGAUGCUUUUGGCGACGCGCCUUCCGAGUCCCCUGGAACGGGGCGCCAGAGAGGGUGAGAGCCCCGUAUGGUUGGACGCCGAACCUCUGUAAAGCUCCUUCGACGAGUCGAGUAGUUUGGGAAUGCUGCUCAAAAUGGGAGGUAAAUUUCUUCUAAAGCUAAAUACCGGCCAGAGACCGAUAGCGCACAAGUAGAGUGAUCGAAAGAUGAAAAGCACUUUGAAAAGAGGGUCAAAUAGCACGUGAAAUUGCUGAAAGGGAAGCGCUUGUGACCAGACUUGCGCCCGGUUGAUCAUCCAGCGUUCUCGCUGGUGCACUCUGCCGGGCUCAGGCCAGCAUCGGCUCUCCCAGGGGGAUAAAGGUCGCGGGAACGUAGCUCUCUCCGGGGAGUGUUAUAGCCCGUGGCGGAAUGCCCUUAGGGGGGGCCGAGGCCCGCGUUCGCAAGGAUGCUGGCGUAAUGGUCACCAGCGACCCGUCUUGAAACACGGACCAAGGAGUCAAGCAUUAGGGCGAGUCUUUGGGUGCAAAACCCGCAGGCGCAAUGAAAGUGAACGGAGGUGAGAGCUUCGGCGCAUCAUCGACCGAUCCUGAUGUUCUCGGAUGGAUUUGAGUAAGAGCCUUACCGCUUGGACCCGAAAGAUGGUGAACUAUGCCUGAAUAGGGUGAAGCCAGAGGAAACUCUGGUGGAGGCUCGCAGCGGUUCUGACGUGCAAAUCGAUCGUCAAAUUUGGGCAUGGGGGCGAAAGACUAAUCGAACCAUCUAGUAGCUGGU